CAACAGUGCAGUAAAUGGUAGAAUUUGGAUCUUGUGGGAUCCUUCAAAACUUGUGGUGUCUGAUCAUAUAGAGGAGGCUCAGAUCAUUCAUUGUAAAGUCCAAUACAUCACUGGGGAGAUUAUCUGUUGGCUCUCAGUAAUCUAUGGUUUCAAUGAUUGUGAUCAAAGGAAGCUACUAUGGAGUUCUAUUGUGAAUCUAUCAUCUGGUAUUACUGAUCCU
This 220-nucleotide long non-coding RNA is filed under the name Nicotiana benthamiana. RNAcentral describes it as "long non-coding RNA (NBEN_LNC000618)". Lineage: Eukaryota; Viridiplantae; Streptophyta; Magnoliopsida; Solanales; Solanaceae. The record is from RNAcentral.